RNAcentral lists this ribosomal RNA (1078 nucleotides) under Bacillus safensis. RNAcentral describes it as "bacterial LSU rRNA". It matches the Rfam family "Bacterial large subunit ribosomal RNA", at positions 1414 to 2500 of the family's 2925-position model. The record is from RNAcentral. Lineage: Bacteria; Bacillati; Bacillota; Bacilli; Caryophanales; Bacillaceae.
GGCGAUGGACAACAGGUUGAUAUUCCUGUACCGCCGUACCACCGUUUGAACGAUGGGGGGACGCAGAAGGAUAAGGUAACCGUGCGACUGGAAGUGCACGGACAAGCAGCGAGGCCGUCGGGUUGGCAAAUCCGCCCGGCANACAAGGUUGAGCUGUGAUGUGGAGCCCGUAGGGCGAAGUACCGGAUUUCACGCUGCCAAGAAAAGCCUCUAGUAAGGAGGUCGGCGCCAGUACCGUAAACCGACACAGGUAGGCGAGAUGAGAAUUCUAAGACGCGCGGGAUAACUCUCGUUAAGGAACUCGGCAAAAUGGUCCCGUAACUUCGGGAGAAGGGACGCUUAUGGCAACAUAAGCCGCAGUGAAUAGGCCCAAACGACUGUUUAGCAAAAACACAGGUCUCUGCUAAAUCGCAAGAUGAAGUAUAGGGGCUGACGCCUGCCCGGUGCUGGAAGGUUAAGGGGAUGUGUCAUCGCAAGAGAAGCACUGAACCGAAGCCCCAGUAAACGGCGGCCGUAACUAUAACGGUCCUAAGGUAGCGAAAUUCCUUGUCGGGUAAGUUCCGACCCGCACGAAAGGCGUAANGAUUUGGGCACUGUCUCAACGAGAGACCCGGUGAAAUCAUAGUACCUGUGAAGAUGCAGGUUACCCGCGACAGGACGGAAAGACCCCAUGGAGCUUUACUACAGCCUGAUAUUGAGGCUUUGUACGCGAUGUACAGGAUAGGUGGGAGUUUGUGAAGCCGGAGCGCCAGCUUCGGUGGAGACAUCCUUGGGAUACCACCCUUUGCGUAUAGAGUCUCUAACUCGCAGCCGUGAUCCGGCUGGAGGACCGUGUCAGGCGGGUAGUUUGACUGGGGCGGUCGCCUCCUAAACAGUAACGGAGGCGCCCAAAGGUUCCCUCAGAAUGGUUGGAAAUCAUUCGUAGAGUGCAAAGGCAGAAGGGAGCUUGACUGCGAGACCUACAAGUCGAGCAGGGACGAAAGUCGGGCUUAGUGAUCCGGUGGUUCCGCAUGGAAGGGCCAUCGCUCAACGGAUAAAAGCUACCCUGGGGAUAACAGGCUGAUCUCCCCCAAGAGUC